RNAcentral lists this ribosomal RNA (17 nucleotides) under Emblica officinalis (emblic). RNAcentral's name for it is "Phyllanthus emblica partial 28S ribosomal RNA". The record is from RNAcentral. Lineage: Eukaryota; Viridiplantae; Streptophyta; Magnoliopsida; Malpighiales; Phyllanthaceae.
GCGACCCCAGGUCAGCG